RNAcentral lists this microRNA precursor (165 nucleotides) under Oryza brachyantha (malo sina). RNAcentral describes it as "MIR812 microRNA precursor family". It matches the Rfam family "MIR812 microRNA precursor family", at positions 27 to 189 of the family's 205-position model. Lineage: Eukaryota; Viridiplantae; Streptophyta; Magnoliopsida; Poales; Poaceae. The record is from Rfam by way of RNAcentral.
UAUAAUUUUUGAUUUUUCGUCUUAUUAAAAAAAUUUUUGUGAUUGAUAUUUUUGUUUUUAUUAGAUGAUAAAUCAUGAAUAGUAUUUUACAUGUGAUUAAUUUUUUUCUAAUUUUUUGAAAAUUUUUCAAAUAAGACGGAUGGUUAAACGUUGAACGCAGAAACC